AAAGCGUGCGCAGGCGGUUAUGUAAGACAGUUGUGAAAUCCCCGGGCUCAACCUGGGAACUGCAUCUGUGACUGCAUAGCUAGAGUACGGUAGAGGGGGAUGGAAUUCCGCGUGUAGCAGUGAAAUGCGUAGAUAUGCGGAGGAACACCGAUGGCGAAGGCAAUCCCCUGGACCUGUACUGACGCUCAUGCACGAAAGCGUGGGGAGCAAACAGGAUUAGAUACCCGAGU
RNAcentral lists this ribosomal RNA (230 nucleotides) under uncultured bacterium. RNAcentral's name for it is "partial 16S ribosomal RNA". It matches the Rfam family "Bacterial small subunit ribosomal RNA", at positions 562 to 791 of the family's 1533-position model. The record is from RNAcentral.